RNAcentral lists this ribosomal RNA (508 nucleotides) under uncultured bacterium. Its description in RNAcentral is "partial 16S ribosomal RNA". It matches the Rfam family "Bacterial small subunit ribosomal RNA", at positions 30 to 523 of the family's 1533-position model. The record is from RNAcentral.
AUUGAACGCCGGCGGCAUGCCCUACACAUGCAAGUCGAACGGCAGCGGGGGAGAAGCUUGCUUUUCCUGCCGGCGAGUGGCGAACGGGUGAGUAAUACAUCGGAACGUGCCCUGUAGUGGGGGAUAACUAGUCGAAAGAUUAGCUAAUACCGCAUACGACCUGAGGGUGAAAGUGGGGGACCGCAAGGCCUCAUGCUAUAGGAGCGGCCGAUGUCUGAUUAGCUAGGUGGUGGGUGAAAGGCCUACCAAGGCGACGAUCAGUAGCUGGUCUGAGAGGAAGAUCAGCCACACUGGGACUGAGACACGGCCCAGACUCCUACGGGAGGCAGCAGUGGGGAAUGUUGGACAAUGGGCGAAAGCCUGAUCCAGCAAUGCCGCGUGUGUGAAGAAGGACUUCGGGUUGUAAAGCACUUUUGUCCGGAAAGAAAUGGCUCUGGUUAAUACCUGAGGUCGAUGACGGUACCGGAAGAAUAAGGACCGGCUAACUACGUGCCAGCCGCCGCCGUAA